Molecule: small RNA, 93 nt
Filed under: Arabidopsis thaliana (thale cress)
Lineage: Eukaryota; Viridiplantae; Streptophyta; Magnoliopsida; Brassicales; Brassicaceae
Description: ATSL196940
Source: RNAcentral
UUUUGGACUAGAUAGGACUAGGUGGGCGCUUAUACUUUGGGUUGGGAUGUGUUGAAAAGAAAAAAAGGGUUGAUUCAUUGAUAAGAAAAGGUA